Molecule: ribosomal RNA, 510 nt
Filed under: uncultured bacterium
Lineage: Bacteria
Description: partial 16S ribosomal RNA
Rfam family: Bacterial small subunit ribosomal RNA
Source: RNAcentral
GACGAACGCUGGCGGCGUGCUUAACACAUGCAAGUCGAACGAAGAGCGAUGGAAGCUUGCUUCUAUCAAUCUUAGUGGCGAACGGGUGAGUAACGCGUAAUCAACCUGCCCUUCAGAGGGGGACAACAGUUGGAAACGACUGCUACUACCGCAUACGAUCUAAUCUCGGCAUCGAGGAUAGAUGAAAGGUGGCCUCUACAUGUAAGCUAUCACUGAAGGAGGGGAUUGCGUCUGUUGAGUACGUUGGCGGGGUAGCGGCCCAGCUAGGCGAGGAUCAGGAGCCGGACGGAGAGGAUGAGCGGCCGCAUUGGGAGUGAGACACGGCCCAGACGGCUACGGGAGGCAGCAGUGGUGAAUCGUGAGGAAUGGACGAAAGUCUGACGGAGCUACGCCGCGUGAGUGAUGGCGGCCUUCGGGUUGUAAAGCUCUGUUAAUCGGGACGAAAGGCCUUCUUGCGAAUAGUGAGAAGGAUUGACGGUACCGGAAUAGAAAGCCACGGCUAACUACGUG